AUUGAACGCUGGCGGCAUGCUUUACACAUGCAAGUCGAACGGCAGCGCGGGCUUCGGCCUGGCGGCGAGUGGCGAACGGGUGAGUAAUACAUCGGAACGUGCCCAGUAGUGGGGGAUAGCUCGGCGAAAGCCGGAUUAAUACCGCAUACGACCUGAGGGUGAAAGCGGGGGAUCUUCGGACCUCGCGCUAUUGGAGCGGCCGAUGGCAGAUUAGCUAGUUGGUGGGGUAAAGGCCUACCAAGGCGACGAUCUGUAGCUGGUCUGAGAGGACGACCAGCCAAACUGGGACUGAGACACGGCCCAGACUCCUACGGGAGGCAGCAGUGGGGAAUUUUGGACAAUGGGCGAAAGCCUGAUCCAGCAAUGCCGCGUGUGUGAUGAAGGCCUUCGGGUUGUAAAGCGCUUUUGGCGGGAACGAAAAGGACUGUGCCAAUACCACGGUUCGAUGACGGUACCCGCAGAAUAAGCACCGGCUAACUACGUG
Molecule: ribosomal RNA, 484 nt
Filed under: uncultured bacterium
Lineage: Bacteria
Description: partial 16S ribosomal RNA
Rfam family: Bacterial small subunit ribosomal RNA
Source: RNAcentral